UGGGAUUAAGCCUAACUGGGAAGGCUUAGGGGUCGGUCGUUACAGCCUACCCCCCCUUAAAAGAAUCUCGUCCCGAGAUUCAGAGAUAAAAAGGGUGUGCUGUUCUUACCUCCUUGAUGGGACAGGAAACCUGGGAAACGCUUGUUCAGAUACUCUUCCGUUUCCCAUGUUGCUUCAUCUUCGGUGUGGUUUCUCCAAAGGAUCUUGUAC
This 210-nucleotide long non-coding RNA is filed under the name Setaria viridis. RNAcentral describes it as "long non-coding RNA (SVIR_LNC007053)". Lineage: Eukaryota; Viridiplantae; Streptophyta; Magnoliopsida; Poales; Poaceae. The record is from RNAcentral.